CCUACGGGUGGCAGCAGUGGGGGAUCUUGCACCAUGGGGGAAACCCUGAUGCAGCGACGCCGAGUGUAGGCAGACGGUCCUCUGGAUUGUAAACCACUGUCCCCAGGGACGAAGAUGACGGUCCCUGGGCAGGCAGCUCCGUCUAACUACGUGCCAGCAGCCGCGGUAAUACGUAGGGAGCGAGCGUUGUCCGGAAUUACUGGGUGUAAAGGGGGCGUAGGCGGGGAUGGAAGUUGGGUGUAAAAGCUAGCGGCUCAACUGGUAGUCGCAGUCGACACUGCAGCUCUUGAGUGACGUAGAGGCAGGCGGAAUGCGGAGUGUAGCGGUGAAAUGCGUAGAUAUUAGGAAGAACACCAAUGGCGAAGGCGGCCUGCAGGGCUUUUACUGACGCUGAGGCUCGAAAGUGUGGGUAGCGAACAGGAUUAGAUACCCGAGUAGUC
This 440-nucleotide ribosomal RNA is filed under the name uncultured bacterium. RNAcentral's name for it is "partial 16S ribosomal RNA". It matches the Rfam family "Bacterial small subunit ribosomal RNA", at positions 338 to 795 of the family's 1533-position model. The record is from RNAcentral.